Molecule: ribosomal RNA, 460 nt
Filed under: uncultured bacterium
Lineage: Bacteria
Description: partial 16S ribosomal RNA
Rfam family: Bacterial small subunit ribosomal RNA
Source: RNAcentral
CCUACGGGUGACAGCAGUGAGGAAUAUUGGUCAAUGGGCGCGAGCCUGAACCAGCCAAGUAGCGUGAAGGAUGACUGCCCUACGGGUUGUAAACCUCUUUUAUCAAGGAAUAAAGUGCGGCACGUGUGCCUUUUUGUAUGUACUUUAUGAAUAAGGAUCGGCUAACUCCGUGCCAGCAGCCGCGGUAAUACGGAGGAUCCGAGCGUUAUCCGGAUUUAUUGGGUUUAAAGGGAGCGUAGAUGGGAUGUUAAGUCAGUUGUGAAAGUUUGUGGCUCAACCGUAAAAUUGCAAUUGAUACUGGCUGUCUUGAGUACAGUUGAGGUAGGCGGAAUUCGUGGUGUAGCGGUGAAAUGCUUAGAUAUCACGAAGAACUCCGAUUGCGAAGGCAGCUUACUAAACUGCCACUGACAUUGAUGCUCGAAAGUGUGGGUAUCAAACAGGAUUAGAUACCCGGGUAGUC